UAUCUCUCUGUACAGGGAAGGAUGAGAAUCUUCGAUUAAGGUUCGACUCGAGCGGAAGCGAGAGAACGUUGCCAACGGCAACGGCCCGAAGGGCGCGACGCGCCGAGUCAUCCUUCCCCCACCAUAA
RNAcentral lists this small RNA (127 nucleotides) under Salmonella enterica. RNAcentral describes it as "RtT sRNA". It matches the Rfam family "RtT RNA". From Rfam's summary of the family: This family represents a bacterial cis-regulatory element known as RtT RNA. The exact function of RtT is unknown although it is thought that it may be involved in changing the cellular response in relation to amino acid starvation. The record is from RNAcentral. RNAcentral also lists the same sequence under 10 other names. Lineage: Bacteria; Pseudomonadati; Pseudomonadota; Gammaproteobacteria; Enterobacterales; Enterobacteriaceae.